Molecule: small RNA, 563 nt
Filed under: Pongo abelii (Sumatran orangutan)
Lineage: Eukaryota; Metazoa; Chordata; Mammalia; Primates; Hominidae
Description: processed transcript
Source: RNAcentral
AGCGGCAGCGACCUGUGUGGGUCCUUCACUUUGUGGGAUCUUUGUUCUUUCGCUCUUCACAAUAAAUCUCCCUGCUGCUCACUCUUUGUGUCAGUGCCAUCUUUAAGAGCUGCAACACUCACCAGGAAGAUCUGCUUAGCUCUCUGUGCCUCAUGUUGUCCAUCUGUAAAAUGAGGAUGAAAUGGCAGGUGGAGUGGAACUGUGAAGUGCCUUUCCGGGGGCUGGAGGUGCCCUGGUGAAGUCUCCCGGUCCUGGGCUGUUCCAGUCAGAGGCAGACAGGGCCUGGCUGGGAAGUUGGAUGGACUAGCGAAGCUCCGGACUGUUCGGGAAGCUCCAUCCGAAUGUGUCUGCCCCCCAGGGUGUGCUGGUUUACAUAUGCUGUUCAGUUGGUGAUGGAAACACAGCCACUGAUAAAGCAAUAAAUGAAAGGAAAUGACAGGAAAGCACCAUCCUCGAGCUUCCAUGGACACAGACAUGAAGAUUUCCAUCUGUGGCUAAACAGGAGCAGAGCUUUGGAGGUGCUCCUGGUCCAUCGGUUCCCAGUGACAUGUCUUCAGUUCCAG